CCUACGGGAGGCUGCAGUGGGGGAUAUUGGACAAUGGGGGGAACCCUGAUCCAGCGACGCCGCGUGAGUGAAGAAGUAUUUCUGUAUGUAAAGCUCUGUCAGCAGGGAAGAAAGAAAUGACGGUACCUGACCAAGAAGCCCCGGCUAACUACGUGCCAGCAGCCGCGGUAAUACGUAGGGGGCAAGCGUUAUCCGGAAUUACUGGGUGUAAAGGGAGCGUAGACGGUUAAGUAAGUCUGGAGUGAACGGCCGGGGCCCAACCCCGGGACUGCUCUGAAACUAUUGAACUUGAGUGCAGGAGAGGUAAGCGGAAUUCCUAGUGUAGCGGUGAAAUGCGUAGAUAUUAGGAGGAACACCAGUGGCGAAGGCGGCUUACUGGACUGUAACUGACGUUGAGGCUCGAAAGCGUGGGGAGCAAACAGGAUUAGAUACCCCAGUAGUC
RNAcentral lists this ribosomal RNA (442 nucleotides) under uncultured bacterium. Its description in RNAcentral is "partial 16S ribosomal RNA". It matches the Rfam family "Bacterial small subunit ribosomal RNA", at positions 338 to 795 of the family's 1533-position model. The record is from RNAcentral.